ACCCUGGUGGUCGAAUUGGUACGACUCCUGCCCGGUAUGUAGAAGGCUCCAGGUUCGAACCCUGGCUGGGGUG
This 73-nucleotide transfer RNA is filed under the name Ooceraea biroi (clonal raider ant). It matches the Rfam family "tRNA". Rfam says of the family: Transfer RNA (tRNA) molecules are approximately 80 nucleotides in length. Their secondary structure includes four short double-helical elements and three loops (D, anti-codon, and T loops). Further hydrogen bonds mediate the characteristic L-shaped molecular structure. tRNAs have two regions of fundamental functional importance: the anti-codon, which is responsible for specific mRNA codon recognition, and the 3' end, to which the tRNAs corresponding amino acid is attached (by aminoacyl-tRNA synthetases). tRNAs cope with the degeneracy of the genetic code in two manners: having more than one tRNA (with a specific anti-codon) for a particular amino acid; and 'wobble' base-pairing, i.e. permitting non-standard base-pairing at the 3rd anti-codon position. The record is from Rfam by way of RNAcentral. Lineage: Eukaryota; Metazoa; Arthropoda; Insecta; Hymenoptera; Formicidae.